This is a long non-coding RNA of Sebastes umbrosus (honeycomb rockfish), 165 nucleotides long. RefSeq lists it as uncharacterized. The transcript has 3 exons. The record is from RefSeq and is a predicted model, not a curated record. NCBI's taxonomy places the organism in Eukaryota, Metazoa, Chordata, Actinopteri, Perciformes, Sebastidae.
GUGUGUGUCUGGCUGGUCAUGGAUGUAAUAGAGAACUGGAUACAGCGUUGGAGGUGGGGCCCCGUUCACUCCUAUGAGAGUUGCUCAAUGGCGCAUGAUGCCAAAAUGGCUCGAUUUCCAUCUGCAAAAUUACCCGGAUCUUCCAGCGAUCUUCCCCAUCCAUUG